CGCGGCUGCGUUAUAGAUGCGAUCUUUUACUGCGCUCUUGACUUACUUACAUGGCAUUUGAGGUAGUUCUUGAGCUUAAUACAUGCACCAAAGCUUUGACCGUAAGGGAAAAGCGCAUUUAUAGAACAAACUAUUGCCAGCAGCCGCGGUAAUUCCAGCUCGGGCGGGGGCGGCGGGCCGGGCGCGGGGCGCGGCGUGCGAGCCUUUCGGUAUCUGCUUUAUCAACUUUCGAUGGUAGGGUAUCUGCCUACCAUGGUGGUGACGGAUAACGGAGGAUCAGGGUUCGACUCCGGAGAAGGGGCCUGAGAAAUGGCCACUACGUCUAAGGAUGGCAGCAGGCGCGCAAAUUACCCACUCUCAGAAUUUGGAGGAGGUACUGACGAUAAAUAACGAGGUUGAUCUCUUCAGAGGCCAACCAUCGGAAUGGGUACAAUUUAAACCCUUUAACGAGUAUCUAUGAGAGGGCAAGUCUGGUGCCAG
This 480-nucleotide ribosomal RNA is filed under the name Nematoda environmental sample. RNAcentral's name for it is "partial 18S rRNA". It matches the Rfam family "Eukaryotic small subunit ribosomal RNA", at positions 105 to 570 of the family's 1831-position model. The record is from RNAcentral. Lineage: Eukaryota; Metazoa; Nematoda.